RNAcentral lists this transfer RNA (76 nucleotides) under Dipodomys ordii (Ord's kangaroo rat). It matches the Rfam family "tRNA". From Rfam's summary of the family: Transfer RNA (tRNA) molecules are approximately 80 nucleotides in length. The record is from Rfam by way of RNAcentral. Lineage: Eukaryota; Metazoa; Chordata; Mammalia; Rodentia; Heteromyidae.
GAUGGCAUGGCUCAAGUGGUAGAGUGCUUGGCUAGCUAGCACUCUGAGGCCCUGGGUUCAAAUCCCAGUACCACCA